AUGAGGCUGCUAAAAUCAUGCAAGAUGUUGUUCAUUGAAGGGGUGCCACUUGGCUGGCAGCAGGAAGUAAGCCAUCAACAUCAUCAAGAUCCGCUUGAAGGACAACACCAUGGAAGAUGCUCAAUGACCAGAUCGUCGUCCUCUCCGAGAGGAGGGGCCAGCUCAAGCAGCAUUGAAGGGGUGCCACUUGGCUGGCAGCAGGAAGUAAGCCAUCAACAUCAUCAAGAUCCGCUUGAAGGACAACACCAUGGAAGAUGCUCAAUGACCAGAUCGUCGUCCUCUCCGAGAGGAGGGGCCAGCUCAAGCAGCAUUGAAGGGGUGUCACUUGGCUGGCAGCAGGAAGUAAGCCAUCAACAUCAUCAAGAUCCGCUUGAAGGACAACACCAUGGAAGAUGCUCAAUGACCAGAUCGUCGUCCUCUCCGAGAGGAGGGGCCAGCUCAAGCAGGUUGCCGCUGGAACUAGAUGGGGUCUCCAGCCAGCCGCCAUGUGGCUUGCAGUAG
This 501-nucleotide ribosomal RNA is filed under the name Triticum aestivum (bread wheat). RNAcentral describes it as "partial small subunit ribosomal RNA". Lineage: Eukaryota; Viridiplantae; Streptophyta; Magnoliopsida; Poales; Poaceae. The record is from RNAcentral.